CUGAGUUGCAAAACUCCCAAACCCAAUGUGAACCUUACCUACACGUUGCUUCGGCGGACCCGCCCCGGCGCUUCGGCGACCGGACCCAGGCGACCGCCGGGGGAAAACACAAACCCUUUGUAUUACACAGUGAAUCUUCUGAAGUAAAAAAACAAAUGAAUCA
RNAcentral lists this unclassified non-coding RNA (163 nucleotides) under uncultured Ascomycota. RNAcentral's name for it is "sequence contains ITS1". The record is from RNAcentral. Lineage: Eukaryota; Fungi; Ascomycota.